UUCAAAUUGCAUGCAAAACAUCAGCAGAACGAAGCUGAGAAAAACCAAUUACCUCAACUGGAAAUCAAAUAAACUCAAAAAGUAUAGUGUGUGCAGAAAACGAAACUUAAUAAUUCCAGAAAAAGGGAGAUGGAAGGAGGUGUGCAUUAACUUACUUCGACCAAUCGAUGCCAUGACUGAAAGAAUUUCAAAAAGGAAAAAAUAAAUAGAACAAUUUUUGUACGUGUUGUGAAAAGGAUUGCCAGGCGAUACAGAAUGAAAGAUAUAUGGAGAGACAGAUGGAUAGUUAGGAAAAUAGAGGCUGUGUGGGCGGGUUGAAGAAGUCUGAUCCGCUCCGUUCCAAAGGAUAUCGUAUUUGGAAUAGUCUUAAGACAGAUAGCUUUCAAACUGGUAGACUUGUUUGCGUGGAAAGAAACGGACGGACAUAAGGACAGACGGACAUGGAUAUAUUUGGUUGUUGAUACUGAACAAGAAUAUAUACAAUUUAUAUGGUCACUGAUUGGUUUCACUUCGGAUUCACUUGAUAGGUCCUUUUUGUUAAAUAUAAAUACUGCAAAGGAAAAGGGUACAUAAACUUUGGCUUGCCGAAGCUAUCUCUCUUCCAUGUUUCUAUUUUGGCUGAGGGAAAUCAAGGCGAACUUCUGGUUUGCGUGACUCUGUGUUGAUUCUAUCCGA
Molecule: long non-coding RNA, 675 nt
Organism: Drosophila teissieri
Lineage: Eukaryota; Metazoa; Arthropoda; Insecta; Diptera; Drosophilidae
Exons: 3
Source: RefSeq, a predicted model, not a curated record